GACGUAGGGCGCGAGCGUUGUCCGGAUUUAUUGGGCGUAAAGAGCUCGUAGGCGGCUUGUCGCGUCGACUGUGAAAACCCGCGGCUUAACUGCGGGACUGCAGUCGAUACGGGCAGGCUAGAGUUCGGUAGGGGAGACUGGAAUUUACGGUGUAGCGGUGAAAUGCGUAGAUAUCGUAAGGAAGACCAGUGGCGAAGGCGGGUCUCUGGACAGUUCCUGACGCUGAGGCACGAAGGCCAGGGGAGCAAACGGG
This 253-nucleotide ribosomal RNA is filed under the name uncultured bacterium. Its description in RNAcentral is "partial 16S ribosomal RNA". It matches the Rfam family "Bacterial small subunit ribosomal RNA", at positions 524 to 776 of the family's 1533-position model. The record is from RNAcentral.